AAGUCGUAACAAGGUUUCCGUAGGUGAACCUGCGGAAGGAUCAUUAACACGUAUCCAACGUUAAACCCCCUGUGAACCUUCAUUGUAUGAGUUACAUCCACGUCAUAAACCGGCAAUCUCUGGUAAAUCAUCGCCGAACAGUUUUGAUUCAGAGACCUCUGGGAAGGGUGUACGGUAGUGCGAGGCAAUUGACCUGGCAUUCCUCUGCUUGUUAGUGUCUGAAAGUGUCACUAGCUAUGUACGGAUGGCAGUAACGAUCGCUGGAGGCCGACACGGCCGGCGACCAGGUCACUGGGCUACGGCCCCCCUGAUCACAACCUUUGCAUGACCCCUAAUGCUUGAACAACUGUUAACAAUGGAUAUCUUGGUUCUC
This 373-nucleotide unclassified non-coding RNA is filed under the name fungal sp. Its description in RNAcentral is "partial internal transcribed spacer region". The stretch from base 1 to 46 matches the Rfam family "Eukaryotic small subunit ribosomal RNA", at positions 1786 to 1831 of the family's 1831-position model. The record is from RNAcentral. Lineage: Eukaryota; Fungi.